GACACCUUACGGUAGAGUAAAUGGAGGAUUUUAGGUCACCUAAAAAGCGGAGAAAACUGUGCCAGCAGGCGAGCAUUCGCGUUUUUUUCAGACAGUAAAGAGACAGGCAAGAUGAGAGCAGUGGCCAGACAGGGACACGCUCUGGACAUGCAGAUGAUCAGGUGAGAAAUUAAUGCAAUUUAGUAUUGCACAUAGACAGUCAUUUUACGUAAGUGGGCUUUCUUUUUCCAUUGGAAGCUAUCCUAUUUGCUACAGUACUACUGUAAAAGCAUAAUUGUAAUUGGUUGGUGUGUUUAAGGUCAGUAAAUAGUAAGCAACUCAGUCACUAUUACAGAGAAAUUACACUAUUCCUUUAGAUGUGAAUUUAAAUGGUCAAUGUGGUCCUCAAAACUGUUUUAAAUGUGCAAAUUUUCAUAUAUGAAUAUAGAAUUGUAGGCCAUGAAAAAAUAAUAAUAUGGGGAAUGGUAUUCAUUUGGACCCCCCCAAUGUCUAAACCAUGGUUACGCCCUUGGUUGUUAGGAAUUUGCGUGCUAUUUGGCAUGAAUUCCAGUGCUGUUUAUUUAAUCAUUCAGGGUUCCCGCGGGUCCUUAAAAAGUCUUCAAAUGCCUUAAAUUAAAAUUUGGGUAAUUAAGGUCUUAAAUUGUCUUAAAUUUUACGUAAAGCUGCUGUAGGUAUUAAUUUUUAAUGACUAGGAGAAAGCACAGUGGUGCGUCGUAAAACAUCUAAUAGUUGAUUGAUUUAGUAUUGUGCGAAAUGAGUCUCCGCAAUUUAAUAGCUGUUUACGGUACGUCGGCUACAGACGCUGACGUCAGGCUGCGUGUCGCCAUUACGCGGUUGUCGAUGUGAGGUUGAAAAUGCAAAGAAGAUGGGGAAGUGCAAAUUUAAUGACAAGUGGAUGGAGGAGGAUGCAUUUAGGAGGUGGUUGGCGCCGAUUGAAAACAACAAUGAGGCAAUGUGUAAACUCUGCAAAAAGACCUUUUCAUUAGGGACCAUGGGGCUCAAAGCCGUCGAGUCGCACAUGAAAGGAGGAAAGUACCAGCGAUGCGUUGCAGCAGCUAGCCAUAGCGGGGCCAGGUUAAUCCCUGCAACGACGUUACAAGUUCAGACGCCACCCCUCAGUCGGCUGUAACAAGUUUCAUUUCAACACCAGACACCCAAAAGGCAGAGGUACUAUGGGUUCUCCAUACUGUGACGAGGCACAAUUAAUUUAAAUCCAAUGAAGACAUACGUGGCGUCUUUGCUGCCAUGUUCCCCGAUUCGCAAUGCAUUGUGUUGUUUAGUGUAAUAUGUAUGUUAUGUUGGCUCUGUUCUGCAUCACAAAGGAAUCACUUUCAUUGUUUACAUCGAUAUUGGCCAAACAGUAUUGGAAGCGUUAUUGUCAGUUAUUAUACUGUCUCCUAAUUUGAAAAAUAGUUUUGAUUUCCAUUGUAGGAGGCAAUAAAUUGCGUAUUCUUAAAUUAUAUUUGUUGAGGUCUUAAAAAGGUCUUAAAAAGCAUUACAUUUUACUUUUGAAACGGUGCAAGAACCCUAUCAUUGAAUGGUCAUGUCGAAGGGCCACUAUGACUUUCGAUGCUCUUUAAGGUGCUGUAGAGUUGACGGGAAUUGUGCCCUUUGGGUUUCUGUGUCGGUGCAGUGGUUUUAGUAGCUGAUACCGUCAUGGUUCUAUACACUCAAUAAAAAUGAUUCAAGCCCUUCUUGGAUGUGAUGAGUUGUUUGUGUUGUAUCAAAUACAUUCAUUAAAUGAGGACCACCCUUUGCGCAUGCGCCACAUUUUGCGCUUUCAGCGUCGUUCUGCCUUUUUUGCUGACUGAAAUUGCAACAUAAUUUUGUCUGGCUCGGGUGAAAAUCCGUUAUUUGGUAAGUAACUGUUUUUUGUUGUAGUGUAUAACAUAACUCUCUGUUAAAUAACGCUUGCACACAAGUUGUGAAUCGUUCUUAAAAGUUAAACUAGGGAAAUUCUCCAUUUCCAUGUCAGCAUUCAAGCUAACGUUAGUUAGCUGAGCUCGUUAGCAUCAUGACCAGAGGUCAGAAAGUCCGUCAUCUUCAAAGCCACAAAGGGGUCAAUCGCUGCCAACGUCGCUCCCUGUCCGUUAACACGGCUAAAGGAGCCAAAGUGCGCAGCUUUAGUAAAUGUUAGCUAACGAUAAUGAAAGUGACGGUGGGCUCUCUGGUGAUGGGCUCUCAUUAGGCAUUUGGGAGAAAGAGAAUAUUACCAACAGUGCAUGAUACAUGUUCAACAACAUGCACAUGAGAACACACAGUGUUUGUUAUUCAUCAAGAAUGUCUUCACGGACUAUUGUGAGUGUAGCCGAGCGUUUAUGGUGCGCCUGUACUUUGUGUUAAUGACAAAACAACAACACGGAGCUCCGACUUUAUUUUUAUCUUUUCCAAGAACACACCCUCAGUUGAACACAUCUUCUACUUCCUCUCCUUCCAUCUCCUCCUUCACAAAAAAACACUCACACCAGAACACUUGCGCAAUAAUAACGCUGACGACGCGGCGCGAGACGACAACCGCGGAUGGGGGGGGCGCGAGACACACGUCCUCUGCAGGUGGUCGUGGCCGGACUGCCGUGAGGAACGGAGCGAGACGCAACAUCAUUUUGUCUGGCUCGGGUGAAAAUUCGUUAUUUGGUAAGUAACUGUUUUUUGUUGUAGUGUAUAACAUAACUCUCUGUUAAAUAACGCUUGCACACAAGUUGUGAAACGUUCUUAAAAGUUAAACCAGGGAAAUUCCCCAUUUCCAUGUCAGCAUUCAAGCUAACGUUAGUUAGCUGAGCUCGUUAGCAUCAUGACCAAAGGUCAGAAAGUCAGUCAGUCAUCUUCAAAGCCACAAAGGGGUCAAUCGCUGCCAACGUCGCUCCAUGUCCGUAAACACGGCUAAAGGAGCCAAAGUGCGCAGCUUUAGUAAAUGUUAGCUAACGAUAAUGAAAGUGACGGUGGGCUCUCUGGUGAUGGGCUCUCAUUAGGCAUUUGGGAGAAAGAGAAUA
Molecule: long non-coding RNA, 2990 nt
Organism: Gasterosteus aculeatus aculeatus (three-spined stickleback)
Lineage: Eukaryota; Metazoa; Chordata; Actinopteri; Perciformes; Gasterosteidae
Source: Ensembl